RNAcentral lists this ribosomal RNA (465 nucleotides) under Vreelandella stevensii. Its description in RNAcentral is "partial 16S ribosomal RNA". It matches the Rfam family "Bacterial small subunit ribosomal RNA", at positions 338 to 795 of the family's 1533-position model. The record is from RNAcentral. Lineage: Bacteria; Pseudomonadati; Pseudomonadota; Gammaproteobacteria; Oceanospirillales; Halomonadaceae.
CCUACGGGGGGCUGCAGUGGGGAAUAUUGGACAAUGGGGGCAACCCUGAUCCAGCCAUGCCGCGUGUGUGAAGAAGGCCCUCGGGUUGUAAAGCACUUUCAGUGAGGAAGAACGCCUGGUGGUUAAUACCCAUCAGGAAAGACAUCACUCACAGAAGAAGCACCGGCUAACUCCGUGCCAGCAGCCGCGGUAAUACGGAGGGUGCGAGCGUUAAUCGGAAUUACUGGGCGUAAAGCGCGCGUAGGUGGCUUGAUAAGCCGGUUGUGAAAGCCCCGGGCUCAACCUGGGAACGGCAUCCGGAACUGUCAAGCUAGAGUGCAGGAGAGGAAGGUAGAAUUCCCGGUGUAGCGGUGAAAUGCGUAGAGCUCGGGAGGAAUACCAGUGGCGAAGGCGGCCUUCUGGACUGACACUGACACUGAGGUGCGAAAGCGUGGGUAGCAAACAGGAUUAGAUACCCCAGUAGUC